GUUGACGGUAUGAAUCCAUGCCUUCAUAAUUUCCUUACUUUCCAUUACUCGUGUCUUUUAGGGUUCACACUACAGCAUCUCUUGGAAAAUCUCUGAAACUAUGUACUUUUUGCCCCUCUAUAGCACAAUUGCUUUCUUCUUGAACAACAUGAUUAUUAGAUAUUAUUGCGAACUAUAUAAAUUUGCAAUAGAUUCCGUGUAGAAGUGCCACAAACAACAGAAGUAAUUGCUAAAUUCAGAGACUUUACGUGACAAAGAAUUCUACACCAUAUGGUAUCUCCACAAAUAAAUUUUAUGAAAUUCUGUUAAGUGAUUGAGUCGUAUGCAUCUAAGAUAAGAGUUACAGAGAUGAGAAUGUUAAGGUGG
Molecule: unclassified non-coding RNA, 366 nt
Filed under: Hevea brasiliensis (rubber tree)
Lineage: Eukaryota; Viridiplantae; Streptophyta; Magnoliopsida; Malpighiales; Euphorbiaceae
Source: RNAcentral